This 1109-nucleotide ribosomal RNA is filed under the name uncultured cyanobacterium. Its description in RNAcentral is "bacterial SSU rRNA". It matches the Rfam family "Bacterial small subunit ribosomal RNA", at positions 389 to 1514 of the family's 1533-position model. Lineage: Bacteria; Bacillati; Cyanobacteriota. The record is from RNAcentral.
GAGCACGCCGCGUGAGGGACGAAGGCCUCUGGGCUGUAAACCUCUUUUCUCAAGGAAGAAGACAUGACGGUACUUGAGGAAUAAGCCACGGCUAAUUCCGUGCCAGCAGCCGCGGUAAUACGGGAGUGGCAAGCGUUAUCCGGAAUUAUUGGGCGUAAAGCGUCCGCAGGCGGCCUUGAAAGUCUGUUGUUAAAGCGUGGAGCUCAACUCCAUUUAAGCAAUGGAAACUACAAGGCUAGAGUGUGGUAGGGGCAGAGGGAAUUCCCGGUGUAGCGGUGAAAUGCGUAGAUAUCGGGAAGAACACCAGUGGCGAAGGCGCUCUGCUGGGCCAUAACUGACGCUCAUGGACGAAAGCCAGGGGAGCGAAAGGGAUUAGAUACCCCUGUAGUCCUGGCCGUAAACGAUGAACACUAGGUGUCGGGAGAAUUAACCCUUCCGGUGUCGUAGCCAACGCGUUAAGUGUUCCGCCUGGGGAGUACGCACGCAAGUGUGAAACUCAAAGGAAUUGACGGGGGCCCGCACAAGCGGUGGAGUAUGUGGUUUAAUUCGAUGCAACGCGAAGAACCUUACCAGGGUUUGACAUCCUGCGAAUCCCUUGGAAACGAGGGAGUGCCUUCGGGAACGCAGUGACAGGUGGUGCAUGGCGUCGUCAGCUCGUGUCGUGAGAUGUUGGGUUAAGUCCCGCAACGAGCGCAACCCACGUCUUUAGUUGCCAGCAUUCAGUUGGGCACUCUAGAGAGACCGCCGGUGAUAAACCGGAGGAAGGUGUGGAUGACGUCAAGUCAUCAUGCCCCUUACAUCCUGGGCUACACACGUACUACAAUGCUACGGACAAAGGGCAGCAAACUCGCGAGAGCUAGCAAAUCCCAUAAACCGUGGCUCAGUUCAGAUCGUAGGCUGCAACUCGCCUACGUGAAGGAGGAAUCGCUAGUAAUCGCAGGUCAGCAUACUGCGGUGAAUACGUUCCCGGGCCUUGUACACACCGCCCGUCACACCAUGGAAGUUGGCCAUGCCCGAAGUCGUUACUCCAACCCGCAAGGGAGGAGGACGCCGAAGGUGGGGCUGAUGACUGGGGUGAAGUCGUAACAAGGUAGCCGUACCGGAAGGUG